GCGCGUUUUUUAACGAAAUGCCUUACGAAUCGCAUUUUCGCAUAGUGAGUAGCGGGCUUUAAACGUUAUACCUAAAUACGUAUUGUCGAGCAACUUCGCCAGGCCCAAUGAAAUAUUACCGAAGUAGGUUAAGCAUCUCUUAAUAAUAUUUUAGUUUUGAUUGUUUGUAAACAUUACCAAAGAUUGUAUAUAGAGACAAAGAAAAGUCAAAAUGUUGUAUACAAGAGUUGUAAGUUAAAUAUUUUUGCAUAUAGUUUUAAAAUACUUGUAGAGACUAUGUCUCUUAUAUUUUUUAAAACAAUUUGGGCUUAAUUUUCUUGCGAGAGUUUUAGGUGAAUUAAAAAAUCCAAAGAAAAUUAUUACAAAAAAAUUAUUAACUUGACAUUAUUUUUAUGACUGAAUCUCUCUUUGUCUUAAUGUCUUGUUGAAAUGGUAAGCGAAUUACACUGGGUGGUCUAAGGCUGUUAGAGAUAUCACAAGAUCGAUCCGACUGUCAAUUUCUGUCAGAUCCCUGCUACCUGAUUUUUUUUUUGUUCUCUCGAACAGUUUUGGACGCGAAUAAUACACUUCCAGUUUUAGAAAUCUUACUUUUUAUUGUUAAAUACUGUACAUACACUGUUUAACAUAGUCGAUGGCACAUUAUUUAUAAAAAUAUGAGCACAACGGUACCUACGAUUUAAAUUACCAUGUCCAAAGGAAGACUUAAAAGAUACAGGGCAAAUCAAUGUAAUUAAGUCCAUACAAAAUUUACAUUCGAAGUCUACUCAGUAUAAUUAGGCGUAAAGUUUAUACAAUAUUUUACAAUUCGCUUUAGGGGUACGCUCAUACCUAUCCUAUAAGUAGGGACUAUCAAUAUACAAGUCCUGAAAAAUAAUAAUACAGCUUAAAACUGUAUCAGUUUGGAGUUAUCCUAAUUAUGAAAUAAAGAUUAUAAGUACAGCUGUAGUUCAUUUGCCAUUAUCAUUUAAUGAGAGAACUUAUCUGAUAUGUGAGAUUUUACAAUUUCGUCUAAUGUAAAAUUUAUUUAGCUUAAAUAUCGAUAUAUGAAUAUCACGUGUUUUUUUGUUGAUAAAAAAUUACAUUUUUAAACCGUAAAAUAAAAAGUCAGAAAUCUCCGUUCAAGAUUACCCGAUAUUUAAAACCUUACUUUUAUAAAGGAGACUACCAAAAAUAUGUGAAUUUAAAAAAACAACGUAGCAAAUGGCACAGUAUCGAUUCUAUCAGUCUUGGCCUACAACUAGAGGAUAUACAAUACGACCUUAUAGUUUAACAGCUAUUUUUAGAAGAUAUACAGUUUUUUUCUCUAAAAAUAGGAUUUUACUGCUGCGAAGUUUUAAUUAAACUUGAGAUAGCUGGCUGAUCCGAACGUAUGGUGGUCUAUUGUGGUGCUUAAGUAUUACUUAAACGACUAUGGAUGCGUGUGGUUAAAAUUUAUCAUCGAAUAUAUCUACUAAUACAAAAGCCCUAAAUACACGUAAUGAUAAUUUUCAGGUAGUUUUUGCCUCCCAUAAUUGCCUACUGUUUUUGCGCGAUAUUAGUAAUGCGGCAGUUCUAUUUCUGUUUGCAAUUACAGGUUAUUCAAUUGAUAACAAUAUGCUAUCGUUUUUGUGCCAUUUUACGUAUAUUAUGAACCGCUUUUGUUUAUUUAAAAGCGAGUGGUUUAUAGAAAAUAUUUAUCAGUUAGUCUAGCUAGGUAUGGAAAUACUAUCAACAAUAGGUAAACUGGGGCUGAAGUAUCUUAAAGGGUAUUGAUUUCAUCAUUUGAAAUAUACUCAGUUCCUACAACAUGUUGCCAGGCUCGCUGCGGCUGGAUCCGUGGUAAACCGACUUGUGAGGAGUGAAGCUGCUUAAAGAUGGCGCGCCGUUCCUCCAGGACAGGCUCGGAGGUCCUACCCGGGCGUACGCCGGCUGGCCAGACGGCGAUACCAAAUCUGGCGGGUGUUCCUGGGAAAACUUCUUCUGAUCCUUCUUGCUGCGUUUCAAGUAUCCGCCGUUGGAUGCCGGAUAAGGAGAUUCAUCGCCGUCGUUCAUCGAAUAAUGGUUCCAUAUCUACGGCAAUCAAAAAUAUACAGAUUAAUACAAGUACUAAAUGAAGGCCCCCGGUAAAUCAACAAUAAAAAUAUUUAAGGGAACACGAACGAGAAAGCAUUGCAAUAAAAAACUAGCAUUCAAUAAUUUGAUUUUUAACUCAUAUAUCGAAAGCAAGGAUUCUUGAAGACUAAUAAUUUUUGAAUAAUAAAUUUUUGAAUAAAUAGAUAAAGUCAAGCGGCUGCAAUGAUUUUAUAUUAGUAAAUUACUAGCAUUUCAGAUAAUAUAAUGUAUAAUAUUUCUUUUUCAGAUCUAAACUCAAUUGACCUUCUAAAUUUAAAUAACAAUCACAGUUAUUGUGACAAAAAUUUCCAUCAUUUUAACUUUAAAAAAUUUGUCUUGCUUAGAUAUCUUCUGCUUAUCGCCUGCUUAGUCUCCAGUAUGCAGAAGUGAUUCAACAUUUCAAAAAAGGCAGUAAAUAUGAUGUAAACAACUGCCGUCCUAUUUCAAUAUUGCCUAUUUUUGGCAAUUUUGAAAUUAUAAUGAAAGGAGUUCCUGUUAGACUACUACUUGCAAAAAAUUUAAUUUUUUGCUAAUGACCAGUGGUUUUUUUAUACAGAAAGUGAACUAUAAAAACGAUGAGUGCGAUUGUUUAGGACACAUAGCUUGUUAUUGAAAAAGUUGUCUACUAUUGGUUUAUCAGAGUCCGUCAUAUCUUGCUUCGAAUCGUAUUUUACUGAUCGUCAUCAAAGAGUAAGCGUAGAUGGUUGUACCUCUUCUUUUUUAGCCCAGCAUCACGGUGUUCCGCAAGGAUCGGUUUUGGGCCCGCUUAUAUAAAUUAUCUUCCAUAAUUUAUUAAGCCCAUCCAGUGUACACUGCUAAAGUUCGUCUCUAGACGAGUCAUAUUGCUAAGGAGCGGAAGCGAAAUUGGUUUGCAGAAAAUGACUUGCUUUUGAACCCAAAUAAAAUGUUUUACUUUUCUCUAAUGUUAGUAUUCGAAAGAUACGAGCGUAUGGGAUGGAUCUAGUUAUGCAGUCAGGAUUUCGUCUUAAAAAAAAUUCCUGUAAUUCUUCUAGACUUUACAUUUCACUUUCGUAUACAAUAGCCCAAUGAAUAUUCAAUCUAAUAAAUCAAGUUAUUCUGUUCAGUUUGAAACACAUUACUACACAACGCGUAAUGCAUAAUAUAUUAUAAUAUAAUAAUGAUAACGUCUUAAUAAACAAUUACAAAUUCUUUAAACCUCAGCUUUUACAAUUAAUUAUCUUGUCAUAUAAAACGCCUUGGUAACAAUUUUUUUAAGAGAGCUGUCAAGCGUCUACUAAAAAUAAAAUGUUUUCACAGUACUGUGUAUGUGGUGUUUUAUAUUUUUAUUCUUAUAUUGCUUUGUUAUCCUUAUAUGGAUUUUUUAUUCUGUUUUGACCUGCUACAAAUAUAUUAUACUGAAAUAAACCCAAACCUAAACCUAUGGCCUUUUAUGUCUAAAACACACCCCAAACAUAUCUCAUUUACACAGAAGAAAAAGAAAAAGAAACCAACCGGCGGUAGGAAUGAAGAAGAAUAGAAUUCUAUAACCUAAAUGUGUCAAUAGUUAAUAGAACUAGCUAGUCGCCAACCUAUAAAAUGUAAAGGCUUCUACAAAUUCAAAUUUUUUUGAGUUUUAAGUUCUUUUAACCAUAUUCUAGGUUAGAAUUAACAUAUUGAGAUGCAGUUUUCACUGGGUUAGUUGCGUGAUGUGGGUACUCGUAUGGGUCAUGACCAGUAUAAUAACAUUCUGUAUGGCGACAGAUGGUGGAUAAUAUAUGAGCAGUUCUAGAGUAGUGACUUUUAUAUAUGCAGUUGGUCUUGCAGUGCUGUUGUUGGUCACUGGCAUCAGAGUAGGUUCUCUAAAUAUGGACUAAGUGGAUGACAUAGACAACCCUGAUUUUUUUCAAUGACAACAAGGAACUUAACGAAAUCUGGUCUCUGCACCUGCAUAACGUCGGUAGUUCUUAAGCAGGUUUACUCGGUGGCGACCAUUUUGUGAUUUUAUCGAAUACACCUUCAUCGCAAAAGCAAAAAGUUUCCUCUAAACAAACUUGGGAUAGGGAAGCAACGAAAAAUGCUAUUCUUGGCGUUAAAGAGAAUAGAAUGGGGCAUCUAAAAGCUGCAAGAUCCUUUAAUGUUUCAAAAUUGUCAUUCAUUCGUUUAUCUAAAAACAGAGAUUUACUUCUAGGGCAACUUGCACGGAGAGCCGUUUUACCAGAAGAUGUUGAAGCAAAGUUGGUAAAUUACAUUCUUACUGGAGCAAACUGAGUAUGGUUUGAGUAGACGCACCAUUAAGUUAAUUGCUUAUCAAGUGCCAGUACGUAUCAAUUUAAGCAACCCUUUAUCCUUUCGCCAUACAACACGAACCUCGAUUUCGUGAUUAAAAGGUUUUAAUCUGCCUGAAUGAAUAUUUACAAUAUCGCUGAAACCGGGAUGUCGGUGUUACCUAAUCAGAUGCCACAAAUUUUACCUCUACCUGCAGUCACUUCUGCGGAACGGAGUUAAACAAGUGACGUGCAUAAUUUUUAAGAAUGCAGGUGGGUCGUUUGUUCCUACAAUGAUGAUAUUUCCUUGAUAGUAAGAUCAUCAACUGAUAAUGAAUGGUGCUUCAGCUGGAUCAAUACACGCUUGGCAUCCAUCAGGUUGGAUACAGACAGAGCUUUUCGCUGAAUGGUUUAAACACUUUUUAGAAAUUGUCAAACCUUUAUCUACUUCUCCUGCGCUUCUGAUAUUAGAUGAAGCACACAAAUCGUACCCGUAAUAUCCCGUAAUUGAUUUGGCACAAAAAAAGAAUGUUCGCUUACUGUCAAUACCGCCGCCACACUCCAGCCCUAAAAUGGGCCCUUUAAAAAAAUAUAUGGCUGAUGAAAUCCGUGUAUGGAUGCUAGUUAAUGCUAUAGCUAUCCCUCAUUACGACAUAGCAAGUUUUUUUUUGGAAGUCCAUAUGUUCAAAAUCAGUGUGCAGAAUUCAGUGGCUUGCGAACAACAGUGGUUUAUCUGCUUAAUCCACACACAUCUUUUUGAUGCUCAUGAUUUUAUUGAAGGUACAGCAACAGUAGUACCAAACAAAAUCAGACAAAUCAAGAUGUUUAUUCCAAAUCUACUUCCAAGUCCUUCAACUGCUUCAACAGGGAAAGAAAAGCUAGUAAGGCUGCUUUUUUGACAUCUUCGCCUUACAAACUAUAAUUAUAAUUCCUUUAAGAGGAAAAAGAAAUAAAUCCCAAAAGAAAUAAAAGAGGAAAAGAAAUUUUGGAGAUAAAGUCACCUAAGAAGAGAAAACAAAUAACUGGCGGAGAAAAUAUAUUAUAUAAAUAAUAACUGGCGAGUUUUAUAGUAGCCGUCAAUGUUAUAAGCCAAAAAUAAGUUUUGAUUUAUGUUAUGAUUGUUAUUACAGUAGGUUUUACAAAAGCAGAAUAUUUUAUUUGAUCAUUUCGGUCCAUAUUAAAUACUAGUCAUCCGUAUUACCAUACCUUUUUAAAAAAUGUUUUAAUAUUUCUCUGAAAAUUAAUUUUUAUUCAUUUCGUUAAGUUUUGGUUAGUGACUGGAAUAAAAAACUAACUCUCAUUCUUUCUUUACUUUUAUUUAAAAAAAGUCCUUACAGUAGUCCAUAUUUAGAGAACCUACUCUGCCAUUGUCAUUCGAUGUUUCACACCCGCUUGUGGUUUAUUUUGGUUUAAUAACAAAAAAUUGCCCCUGGACCUGGGCAAAGCCAGGAUAAGUUGAACCAAUGGUUUUCAAAUACUUUUUAUAUUAAACGUCAAUUUUUGUACCUAUUCUGCUUUUUCGACUUAUCUUCAAAGUUUUCCUGAUUAACUUUAAAUUUUGCGCCCAAAUGUACUAAGUAGGCGAUUUUUUAAUUGUGACCCUUCCCUGCCAAGAUACCUGGAGUGCUGAAAAUAUUGAAGAGUUCUUCUGUUUUCUAUGAUCAGUUUUGACUAUGUUAUAAAUAUUUUUCAAUAUUUCAUUUCAAUAUAUAUUUUUUUCAAUUAUAAUUGAAAUGGAAUCUUUUCAUCAUAUCACCUUGCCGAUUUAAAAUGAAACCGAAAUCAGAUUAUGGAAAAUAAAGGAUUUGUUAACAAAGAAAAGUAGCUCUCAGUUGACACGUGUCGAAUGUGGAUUACUACAAUUAGCACGUAAGAAAAACAUUUUGCUUAUCUAAUCGAUUUAAUAUUUGGCUUACACACCUUUAAGCAAGCCAGUUGUGAAUUAUCACUACAUAGUGACAUACUCAGUAAGCGCUCAACCUUCCCGAUAUUCAAUUCGCCGUUUAUAAAUUAGGUUGCCACCUAGCAACGGGGGUCAUUAUCUGUUUUAAUUCAAAUUGAAAAUUAUAUCUUUAUAUAUACUUAUACAUUAUAUUACUUAUAUAUAAGGUUGUUCGGAAAGUCAUUUCGUUUUUUCCCGUCAGAGGACUUAAUUACGUUUUUU
Molecule: long non-coding RNA, 6480 nt
Organism: Cylas formicarius (sweet potato weevil)
Lineage: Eukaryota; Metazoa; Arthropoda; Insecta; Coleoptera; Brentidae
Exons: 4
Source: RefSeq, a predicted model, not a curated record